Molecule: long non-coding RNA, 1471 nt
Filed under: Nicotiana benthamiana
Lineage: Eukaryota; Viridiplantae; Streptophyta; Magnoliopsida; Solanales; Solanaceae
Description: long non-coding RNA (NBEN_LNC020525)
Source: RNAcentral
UUUAAAAUUUUUAGUUUGUAGGAUUUUAAUUAAAAAAGAAGGAAAAAAUAGAAAAAAUAAAAGAAAGAAUUGAAAAGGGAUUUAUCUUGUGAAAUUGGGUCAGCUCUCACCCAACCCAUAUUUGAUCCAAGAUUUCUCUUAACCCAAGCACAAACCACCCAUGACCCGACUUGCCUGACCCAAACUCAAUUUCUCCACCUAAAACCUAAUACACGGGUAAAUACACUAGAGAGGGACACACGAUAGAGGUCAGAAAAUGGGGGAAGAGAAUACAAUACACACAAUACACGAAUAAUCAAGGGGGGAGCACCUCUCUAAUUGUAUCUUCGGAUUCUCACGCUUUCACUCUCCAAAUUCCUUCACCCCAUUUCAUCACCAACCGUCCGGUGGCAGCCAUGGUCGAGCAACACCAGCAAAUCACCAUUGAAACCAGAUAAAAUUAGUCCGAAAGUUACUCCAAAAUACAACCAUGAAACUCCUCAAAAUUCCACUUGAAACCAGCGUGAAAAUCAACUAAUACGCUGCUGAAAUCUGCUGAAAGCUCCGCUGAAAUCCGCCUUUUAACGGACAAAAACAGCACUUCAAGGUUAAGCUCCAGUCUGUCGAUCUCGGCAAUGAAGUUUGGUUUCAAAUUCCCUUUGUUUGUUCAACUUGGGAAGUGCCGAUUCGCUGAGCUCCAUUUUCAAGUUUUGCUACCUUCAUUUGGUCUAGUUUUGAUAGUUUUGUUGCUGUCAAGGAGUCGAAUUUUGUACUUUUAUUUUUGGUUUUGGUCGAGGUGGAUUUGGCUGGAUUCAUUGCUUUUCGUUGCUGUUCUCCUUUCCUUUUAUGGCUGAGCUCCAAAUUGUAGCUGUUUUCAGCCUGGUUUAGGCCCUCAACUAGUGUUUUCCAAGCUCAAUUAGGUAAGCUCUACACUUCCUUGUAUUGCUUUUCAUUAAACAUUCAUAUCAGUUAAUUUUCUUUUUUUUUUUUUUUGAUUUUGAGCAUCUGUCUAAAUUUCAAUUCCGGCGAUCCUAUUUGUGCGAUAACUGUGUUAUUGAAUAUCAUUUGGAAAAUGUCAGAAAAAUAGUGAGUUAAUUCUACUACUUUUCUGCUUUGAAAUCUGUUGUUGAAUACCAUUAUUUGGUGUAUGUCAUGAAGUGUGACGUUGAAGUCUCUGUAUGUAAAAGUUUCUUUGUUUAUUCAGUGUAUGUUAUGACUGACGAAUUUAUGUCAGUAGCAUGCUUAAUGUGAAGAGUCUAUAAAUUUGACUUAUAGCUGGUUAGAUCUGCUUUUCUCACUAUGUGACGUGGUUAGAUCUGCUUUUCUCACUUCUAGAUUUCGUGCUUGGAAGUUGUAUAUUCAAUUUCUCUACUCUACUUGGGUGAACAAACAGAAUGUUAUUCUAAAUUAUUAAUGAUGAGGAAAUGCUUCACUGAUUUAAACACAAGUUUGGUUGCGUUGAUUUUGGUUUUGAUUUAUUCUAGUAAUGGGC